UACGUAGGUGGCAAGCGUUGUCCGGAUUUACUGGGUGUAAAGGGCGUGUAGCCGGGUCGGCAAGUCAGAUGUGAAAUCCAUGGGCUUAACCCAUGAACUGCAUUUGAAACUGUUGAUCUUGAGUGUCGGAGGGGCAGAUGGAAUUCCUAGUGUAGCGGUGAAAUGCGUAGAUAUUAGGAGGAACACCAGUGGCGAAGGCGAUCUGCUGGACGAUAACUGACGGUGAGGCGCGAAAGCGUGGGGAGCAAACAGG
RNAcentral lists this ribosomal RNA (253 nucleotides) under uncultured prokaryote. Its description in RNAcentral is "partial 16S ribosomal RNA". It matches the Rfam family "Bacterial small subunit ribosomal RNA", at positions 524 to 776 of the family's 1533-position model. The record is from RNAcentral.